CAUGAAGUCGGAAUUGCUAGUAAUCGCAGAUCAGCAUGCUGCGGUGAAUACGUUCCCGGGCCUUGUACACACCGCCCGUCACACCAUGGGAGUCGGUAACACCCGAAGUCGGUAGCCUAACCGUAAGGAGGGCGCCGCCGAAGGUGGGAUUGAUGACUGGGGUGAAGUCGUAACAAGGUAUC
This 182-nucleotide ribosomal RNA is filed under the name uncultured bacterium. Its description in RNAcentral is "partial 16S ribosomal RNA". It matches the Rfam family "Bacterial small subunit ribosomal RNA", at positions 1319 to 1500 of the family's 1533-position model. The record is from RNAcentral.